UGCAAGUCGAACGAACUCUGGUAUUGAUUGGUGCUUGCAUCAUGAUUUACAUUUGAGUGAGUGGCGAACUGGUGAGUAACACGUGGGAAACCUGCCCAGAAGCGGGGGAUAACACCUGGAAACAGAUGCUAAUACCGCAUAACAACUUGGACCGCAUGGUCCGAGCUUGAAAGAUGGCUUCGGCUAUCACUUUUGGAUGGUCCCGCGGCGUAUUAGCUAGAUGGUGGGGUAACGGCUCACCAUGGCAAUGAUACGUAGCCGACCUGAGAGGGUAAUCGGCCACAUUGGGACUGAGACACGGCCCAAACUCCUACGGGAGGCAGCAGUAGGGAAUCUUCCACAAUGGACGAAAGUCUGAUGGAGCAACGCCGCGUGAGUGAAGAAGGGUUUCGGCUCGUAAAACUCUGUUGUUAAAGAAGAACAUAUCUGAGAGUAACUGUUCAGGUAUUGACGGUAUUUAACCAGAAAGCCACGGCUAACUACGUGCCAGCAGCCGCGGUAAUACGUAGGUGGCAAGCGUUGUCCGGAUUUAUUGGGCGUAAAGCGAGCGCAGGCGGUUUUUUAAGUCUGAUGUGAAAGCCUUCGGCUCAACCGAAGAAGUGCAUCGGAAACUGGGAAACUUGAGUGCAGAAGAGGACAGUGGAACUCCAUGUGUAGCGGUGAAAUGCGUAGAUAUAUGGAAGAACACCAGUGGCGAAGGCGGCUGUCUGGCUGUAACUGACGCUGAGG
This 729-nucleotide ribosomal RNA is filed under the name Lactiplantibacillus plantarum. Its description in RNAcentral is "bacterial SSU rRNA". It matches the Rfam family "Bacterial small subunit ribosomal RNA", at positions 56 to 751 of the family's 1533-position model. The record is from RNAcentral. Lineage: Bacteria; Bacillati; Bacillota; Bacilli; Lactobacillales; Lactobacillaceae.